CGCAGCCGCGGUAAUUCCAGCUCCAAUAGCGUAUAUUAAAGUUGCUGCAGUUAAAAAGUUCGUAGUUGAAUUUCGGGGACCAAUAUGUCGGUCGUGCCUCGGUACGUACUGGCAUCGUUGGUUUCUCCCUUCUGACGAACCAUGAUGUCAUUUAUUUGGUGUCGUGGGGAAUCAGGACUGUUACUUUGAAAAAAUUAGAGUGUUUAAAGCAGGCUCACGCUUGAAUACAUUAGCAUGGAAUAAUGAAAUAGGACGUUUGAUUCUAUUUUGUUGGUUUCUAGGAUCGACGUAAUGAUUAAUAGGGAUAGUUGGGGGCAUUAGUAUUCAAUUGUCAGAGGUGAAAUUCUUGGAUUUAUUGAAGACUAACUACUGCGAAAGCAUUUGCCAAGGAUGUUUUCAUUAAUCAAGAACGAAAGUUAGGGGAUCGAAGACGAUCAGAUACCGUCGUAGUCUUAACCAUAAACUAUGCCGACUAGGGAUCGGAUGAUGUUAAUUUUUUAAUGACUCAUUCGGCGCCUUA
RNAcentral lists this ribosomal RNA (520 nucleotides) under uncultured Glomus. RNAcentral describes it as "SSU rRNA". It matches the Rfam family "Eukaryotic small subunit ribosomal RNA", at positions 569 to 1090 of the family's 1831-position model. The record is from RNAcentral. Lineage: Eukaryota; Fungi; Glomeromycota; Glomeromycetes; Glomerales; Glomeraceae.